This 214-nucleotide long non-coding RNA is filed under the name Lathyrus oleraceus (garden pea). RNAcentral describes it as "Pisum sativum (pea) long non-coding RNA (PSAT_LNC024541)". The record is from RNAcentral. Lineage: Eukaryota; Viridiplantae; Streptophyta; Magnoliopsida; Fabales; Fabaceae.
AAGCAACAAUAAUUAACGAAACAAGAAACCCAGAGAUCCUUCCAAGCUAACACCAUCAAAGAAAGUGAGUCAGUACAGGCAAUCGGAAUAAACCUCCGGGUGGCACCCCACAAAUAAAGUGCAACACCAAGCCAGCUAUCCCUGCAAGAGUAUGUGAGCCCUCACAAAAACUCAACGAACGGGUUAGAGUAACAGGAUGGAAUCGGGAGAAAAC